RNAcentral lists this ribosomal RNA (443 nucleotides) under uncultured Christensenellaceae bacterium. Its description in RNAcentral is "bacterial SSU rRNA". It matches the Rfam family "Bacterial small subunit ribosomal RNA", at positions 338 to 795 of the family's 1533-position model. The record is from RNAcentral. Lineage: Bacteria; Bacillati; Bacillota; Clostridia; Christensenellales; Christensenellaceae.
CCUACGGGUGGCUGCAGUGGGGAAUAUUGGGCAAUGGGGGGAACCCUGACCCAGCAACGCCGCGUGAGGGAAGAAGGCCUUCGGGUUGUAAACCUCUGUCAUUAGGGAAGAAGAAAGUGACGGUACCUAAUGAGGAAGCCCCGGCUAACUACGUGCCAGCAGCCGCGGUAAUACGUAGGGGGCGAGCGUUGUCCGGAAUUACUGGGCGUAAAGGGUGCGCAGGCGGCUAUUUAAGUUGGAUGUGAAAUACCCGGGCUUAACCUGGGGGGUGCAUUCAAAACUGGGUAGCUAGAGUGCAGGAGAGGGAAGCGGAAUUCCUAGUGUAGCGGUGAAAUGCGUAGAUAUUAGGAGGAACACCAGUGGCGAAGGCGGCUUUCUGGACUGUAACUGACGCUGAGGCACGAAAGCGUGGGGAGCAAACAGGAUUAGAUACCCCGGUAGUC